UCAGUCAGAACCUGUAGAGUCAGAUCGGGUCAGCACUUAUGUUUUAGUUGAUUCAAACAUUUGCUCUGUCUACAGAUGUAGAGUGAUCUGUGAUCGUUGGGACACACGUGUGCAUGUGAUGCUGGUUUUGCACACUUGUUCGUUAGCAUGUAGCUGCUUUUAAGAACCAAAUACAACUCUAAAAGCAACUAGAAAGGUUUUGAUGAUGAAACCAUGUAAAGUGAAACUACACGUCUGAAGCCUGUCCCUCUGAAAUAAAACCUUUGAACGCUCGACUGCACGUCAGAGAGUUCAAGCCAACAACAGGAAGAAAGAAACAAAGAUGUAAGAAAAUGAAGAGAGGCUUUGUGGAAUCUAGAAGCUUGUGAUAUCCAUGAGGUUGUUUGACCAAACCGAGACUGUUUGUGGCUCAGAGGAGUGUGUGGAGGUGGAGGAACGUGCCUUUUACAGUAGAAGGCUUCUCCUCCUGCAGUGGACACUCUGUUUGUCUUACUGUCACAAGUAAACAAGAUGAUUCAUCAUGUUGUAGAUUUCCACAACACGUGUUGUUAACUCUCUGUUUCUGUUCAUCUUGUGAACAUCACCGACUCGUCAUCUUACUCAGGACUGCAGCCAGGCUGGUUCCGUCAUCGCUUCCUUCUCAUAAUGUCCAUGCUCCAUGUUUGUGUGAUCUCAGAGCUGCAGGACUGAGGCUUAAAUCAAACUAGCAGCUGUACAAACCAAGCACAGGUGUGAAUGGUGUGAAUUUUUCGUUUCCUGUCUGACCAUGGGUGACUGGAGCGCUCUGAGUCCUCUGCUAAGGAAGGUCCAGGCCCACACCACCUCCGGGGGGAAGGUCUGGCUGUCAGUGCUCUUCAUCUUUAGGAUCCUGAUCCUGGGAACCGCUGUGGAGUCGGCCUGGAGCGACGAGCAGUCGGCCUUCAGAUGCAACACCCAGCAGCCAGGCUGUCAGAACGUCUGCUAUGACAAGUCCUUCCCCAUCUCCCACAUCCGCCUCUGGGUGCUGCAGAUCAUCUUUGUGUCCACGCCCACCCUCCUGUACCUGGCUCAUGUCUUCCACCAGACCCACGAGAUCAAAAAGAAGUUUGAGGAGGAGGAAGGAGAUGUGGUGGAUGCUGCUAAGCUAAACGUGAGGAAAAGGUUUGUGUCCAAGGAGCUGGGGAAGAAGAAGAUGGAGGCAGCUCUGCUCUCCACCUACAUACUCAGCAUUCUCUUCAAGUCUGUUUUCGAGGUGGCCUUCCUGCUGCUGCAGUGGUUUGUUCUGGGAUUCAGCCUGGCUCCAGACUAUGUGUGUGAGAGGUCUCCCUGUCCACACAAGGUGGACUGUUUCCUGUCCCGCCCCACAGAGAAGACCAUCUUCAUCCUCUUCAUGCUGGUUGUGUCACUGGUGUCGCUGCUGCUCAACCUCAUAGAGCUUCUAUGUGUCAUUGUGAAAAAACUAAAAGCAAACAAGACAAAAACUGAGCACAUCUCAAAGUGUUUGUCCCAAAAACACACCAGUGAGCAGAACACUGCCAACACGAAUAUUGAGCAGGACCUAACCGACUGCCAGUCCCACCAACAGAACAGAAAGGGGGAGACUCAGACCUUCAUACAACAAGAAGAGACCAAGGCUAGAGGCCGGGACAGAACGGACGACCUGAUCCUGUAAGCCCCUCCCACCUCAGCCUGGAGGCGGGGCUUCACAAUACACACUGAUGCCAUAAUCAAAAUGAUCAGUAACAGGUCUGAACGUCACUGAAAAAGAGGAAAUCAUGCUGUCACACAGAACCUGAACUAGAUGGUGGUGUGUCUGAAACGUUUCACCUCGUGUGUCGGUGCUGGAGCUUCGUCUACGUUUCUUUGUGCGUGACAGUUGUUAUGUUGGUCUAUGUAUUGUCACAUUCCUCAAAUCAGUGACUCAGACGCCAGUCUUGUGUAGCUCAAUAGAACCAAACCAUCAGAAGCUGGUUCUGGUUCUGGCUCAGUUUUGGUCAUAUUUUUUGCAGGAUUAAAUUUCCUACUUGCGCCUUUAAGCAGUGCAGACGUGUUUUUUCUCUGCUCCUCCUGUUAUUUUUGUCUUGUCUUUUCAGCACCCUAAUCUGCUAUUCUGGAAUAAAUAUUUUUGAACAUGGAGCUAAUCUCCUGGCCAGCGCAUUGGACAGAGUACUAAGCAAAGAAAUACUGGGAGAACCACUCUGCCUGAAGGGGACGAUUGCCUCUGCUUACGCAUGGGGACCUGUGGGAUUCCUGGUGCCUCCUGCGUCUCGGGCCACUGUCCGUCGCAGAAGACGUAUUCAUAUUUUGGACCUCGAUAACAGGGUGGAGGUGCCCUGCUUUAUGUGAAGACUGGAAAAGCUGCAGCCAGUUUACUGGCACGAAAAAGCGGUCCUGGGGUCUAUUGGUGCUCGGCUGUUGGAAUUAAUUAAUUAAUUAAAUUAAUUAAUCCUGAUUGAUGGACUGAUUAUGAACAUCUCAGCCCGUUCUGAGGUGGAAAGAGGACGGAUGGACAAUAAAGAGACUGAACUCUUGCAGUGGGUGUUCCAUAGACCUGAAGGAGGAGUCCUGACCGAGUGGGCUAUUGAUAUAGAUUGGAAAAUUAUUUUAUUACAUUGCUGUAUUUUCUCUGUCCCUCUCCCCUUCCCCCUCCUUUUCCCAGUCCAGUCUAGCUCACCAGUUGUGCUUCUCCCUUCCUUCCCUUAGUAUGUCUCCCUCCAAGGAUAACCGUUGGACUGAACUGUAAACAUCUUGGCCACUUCGGCCAUACAACAUUAAACACUCACUAUACUGACGCAGAUACACCCCCCCCCCCCCCCCCCCCCCCCCCAAGACCAGUCUCACCAACUGCUCUCCUCCCUCAGCCUCUGUCCAUGAAAAAAUAUAAAGAUGGAUAGAAGAUAUAAAGAUUCCACUUGUACUGGUAUUGUGUUUAUGUUGUCGUAUUGUACUGUGUGGUUCUUGUAUUGUACUGUUUUGCAGCUUGCUUAAAUAGCUUCAGGAAUGUGUGGCGGCGCGCAUACAAUGGACGGUUUCACCCACUGGUCCAGAACCUUCCCUGUAAACUGAUGUUCCUGUGCAGAUCAAGUCACUUUGUUGGGACCAUGAGACACUGGAUGGAGACUCUGGUGUUGAAUGCUUUUUGUGAUAGUGAUGUUCUGUUUCUCUCCAUGUAGUCGUUGACCUCACAUGCUCAGACCGGUUCCUGUAGGACUGCUCAGCAUUUCAUUUGACAGCACGCACACAGGCACGGCCCGUUUGGCGCACUGGUUCUGUGUGUUGUGAAAUGUUCUUAACACCAGAGACAUUUUACUUCAGUAUGAAUUCUUUGAAUAUCUGUCAGUCAAGUAGCACAAAGAUCCCUCUGUCAUUAUACAGAAAGAAAAACUACACGACAAUAAGCAAUAAUAAA
Molecule: RNA transcript, 3388 nt
Organism: Betta splendens (Siamese fighting fish)
Lineage: Eukaryota; Metazoa; Chordata; Actinopteri; Anabantiformes; Osphronemidae
Gene name: gap junction alpha-1 protein-like
Exons: 3
Source: RefSeq, a predicted model, not a curated record